CUCGGCUCAGCAGCUGAAGACUGACACUGCUUGAUUGCCUGGGAAGCCUAUAGGACCAUCACAGACACUUUGGAUAACUCUUACAGUGAAGGACAAAAAAGCGCCACUGCAGGGAGGAAUGCCAGGGUCCCAUAGAGGGAGACCGACAGUGAAGUGGAGCCUGCCAUGAAUUCACCAAAGGCCAUUCUCCCUUUCUUCCAGAAGAACAGCAUUUAGCUGGGCCUAUGGCUACCUACCUAAAGACUGCACCUCUUAGUCACCCUUGUGGCCAGGUGUGGCCACGUGACAGUGGAAUGUAAGUGGAAGUGAUGUAUGCACUUGGGUUCAUUGGUUUAAAAAAAAAUAUGACCGCCCUCCAUUUCCACUCUUUGUCUUAUCUGUGAAUGGGAACAUGGCUGUGUCUGCAGCCCGACUUUGUGCAGCAAAGGACAAGGCCCUAGGGGAAGGUGGAGAAACAAGAUGGAACAACUUGGACCCAACAACUUGGAUCCCUAUGUGGCCAUGUGGAGUCAUCUCACCCACCUGGGCCACUCACCCCGAAGACUGUUGUGUGAGGGUGAAAUAAACUUCUGUAUCACUAGCCCCUGCAUUUCAGAAAUUCUUUGUUAUGGCAGUUUUGCCUUUAUCCUAACACAGACAGCAAAGUAUCUUCUGUGGCCCCAUGACUAAUUUCGUUGUUUAAACUCAUUAUAAAAACUAUAUAAAUAAAAUA
RNAcentral lists this long non-coding RNA (712 nucleotides) under Homo sapiens (human). RNAcentral describes it as "non-protein coding LINC02407:29". Lineage: Eukaryota; Metazoa; Chordata; Mammalia; Primates; Hominidae. The record is from RNAcentral.